UGCUCAGAUUUGACGCUGGCGGCAGGCUUAACACAUGCAAGUCGAGCGGUAACAGGAGAAGCUUGCUUCUCGCUGACGAGCGGCGGACGGGUGAGUAAUACUUAGGAAUCUACCUAGUAGUGGGGGAUAGCUCGGGGAAACUCGAAUUAAUACCGCAUACGACCUACGGGAGAAAGGGGGCAACUUGUUGCUCUCGCUAUUAGAUGAGCCUAAGUCGGAUUAGCUAGAUGGUGGGGUAAAGGCCUACCAUGGCGACGAUCUGUAGCUGGUCUGAGAGGAUGAUCAGCCACACCGGGACUGAGACACGGCCCGGACUCCUACGGGAGGCAGCAGUGGGGAAUAUUGGACAAUGGGGGCAACCCUGAUCCAGCCAUGCCGCGUGUGUGAAGAAGGCCUUUUGGUUGUAAAGCACUUUAAGCAGUGAAGAAGACUCCAUGGUUAAUACCCAUGGACGAUGACAUUAGCUGCAGAAUAAGCACCGGCUAACUCUGUGCCAGCAGCCGCGGUAAUACAGAGGGUGCAAGCGUUAAUCGGAAUUACUGGGCGUAAAGCGAGCGUAGGUGGCUUGAUAAGUCAGAUGUGAAAGCCCCGGGCUUAACCUGGGAACGGCAUCUGAUACUGUUAGGCUAGAGUAGGUGAGAGGAAGGUAGAAUUCCAGGUGUAGCGGUGAAAUGCGUAGAGAUCUGGAGGAAUACCGAUGGCGAAGGCAGCCUUCUGGCAUCAUACUGACACUGAGGUUCGAAAGCGUGGGUAGCAAACAGGAUUAGAUACCCUGGUAGUCCACGCCGUAAACGAUGUCUACUAGUCGUUGGGUCCCUUGAGGACUUAGUGACGCAGCUAACGCAAUAAGUAGACCG
RNAcentral lists this ribosomal RNA (857 nucleotides) under Psychrobacter sp. RNAcentral's name for it is "bacterial SSU rRNA". It matches the Rfam family "Bacterial small subunit ribosomal RNA", at positions 21 to 871 of the family's 1533-position model. The record is from RNAcentral. Lineage: Bacteria; Pseudomonadati; Pseudomonadota; Gammaproteobacteria; Moraxellales; Moraxellaceae.